Coregonus clupeaformis (lake whitefish) is the source of this 1120-nucleotide long non-coding RNA. RefSeq lists it as uncharacterized. The record is from RefSeq and is a predicted model, not a curated record. NCBI's taxonomy places the organism in Eukaryota, Metazoa, Chordata, Actinopteri, Salmoniformes, Salmonidae. The transcript has 3 exons.
CAAUUGAAAUGUCCAAUCACGCCACGUUUUGCUAGCGCGGGCUAUUUGAGUUCACCUGCCCGGGGCGCGUGUCGGAGGAGAACGUUAAUUCACGAUUUCUUGCUACAUUUUGGUCGAAUUUCUAAAUUAACCAUGUGGUUGGAAUCAACCCAAGGUGAUGAAUCCAGAAGAUGGGACAAAGUGCAUGACAAGGUGGCCCAGAGGAAGCCAGCUGGUUGUUCUCAACCCCUACCUUGCCCCAUUCUUCCAAGAGAUCACUGAGUUUGAAUGGAGACCUCUAGUGAGGGUUGAGAAGAGCUGACCAAUCAGAACUGAGGAGGAUUGUUACGGGGCCCAAUGAGGAACACCUGAUGCUGCGCUGACUUCUCUCUCCUGGAUGUUCUCCGGCCCAAACUGUCCUGUUGUGUGUUUCACCUCCUCUGGACCCCCCCCUUUACCCCAAACAGAGUUGCCCCUGAUCAUAGAUCGGGCUGCAUCACAGCCGGGGUACGGCAACUCCACCGCCGCGGACCGCAAGGCGCUUCAGAGGGUGAUACGUGCAGCCGAACGCACCAUCGGGUGCUCACUGCCUGCCCUCCAGGACACCUACAACACCAGGUGUCUCAGGAAGGCCAAGAAGAUCAUCAGGGACCCUCAGCCAUCCAAGCCACGGCCUGUUCUCCCCGUUUCAAUCACUCAGACGCAGGUGGCACAGGAAGAAGAUCAUCAGGGACCCUCAGCCACCUGAGCCAUGGCCUGUUCUCCCCGUUUCAAUCACUCAGACGCAGGUGGCACAGGAAGAAGAUCAUCAGGGACCCUCAGCCACCUGAGCCAUGGCCUGUUCUCCCCGUUUCAAUCACUCAGACGCAGGUGGCACAGGAAGAAGAUCAUCAGGGACCCUCAGCCACCUGAGACUGGCCAAUAGCUUCUACCCCCAAACCAUCAGGCUGCUGAAUAGCCACGCCCCCACCCACACCCCCUCAACAUACUUUUUCUCUGCCCCCACCCCAAUGACAUUCAUCACUGCUGCAGUUGUUCAUAAUGUUAUUAUUUGUAUUGUUUUAUUUCACUUUGUCUACCCCCAGUGGUCAUUUAGUCUGACUGCUACUCCCCCAAUGGUUAAUGUUCACCCCAAUGGACA